CUAUACUAGAGCAUCUGCCUU
This 21-nucleotide non-coding RNA is filed under the name Arabidopsis thaliana (thale cress). Lineage: Eukaryota; Viridiplantae; Streptophyta; Magnoliopsida; Brassicales; Brassicaceae. The record is from RNAcentral.